CGGGAAGUAGCGUAACGGCUAUCGCGCCUGCUUUGGGAGCAGGAGGCUGCGGGUUCGAAUCCCGCCUUCCCGA
This 73-nucleotide transfer RNA is filed under the name Elusimicrobiota bacterium. RNAcentral's name for it is "tRNA-Pro". It matches the Rfam family "tRNA". Rfam says of the family: Transfer RNA (tRNA) molecules are approximately 80 nucleotides in length. Lineage: Bacteria; Pseudomonadati; Elusimicrobiota. The record is from RNAcentral.